UGGGGAUACCAUUUGGAAAACAGAUGCUAAUACCGGAUAAAAGCUACUUUCGCAUGAAAGAAGUUUAAAGGCGGGCGUAAAGCUGUCGACUAAAGGGAUGGGACCUGCGAUGCAUUAGCUAGUUGGUAAGGGUAACGGGCUUUACCGAAGGCGAUGAUGCAUAGCCCCGAGUUGAGAGACUGAUCGGGCCACAUUGGGGACUGAGACACGGGCCCAAAACUCCUACGGGGAGGCAGCAGUAGGGAAUCUUCCACAAUGGACGAAAGUCUGAUGGAGCAACGCCGCGUGAGUGAAGAAGGUUUUCGGAUCGUAAAAGCUCUGUUGUUGGUGAAGAAGGAUAGAGGUAGUAACUGGCCUUUAUUUGACGGUAAUCAACCAGAAGUCACGGCUAACUACGUGCCAGCAGCCGCGGUAAU
Molecule: ribosomal RNA, 416 nt
Filed under: uncultured Lactobacillus sp.
Lineage: Bacteria; Bacillati; Bacillota; Bacilli; Lactobacillales; Lactobacillaceae
Description: bacterial SSU rRNA
Rfam family: Bacterial small subunit ribosomal RNA
Source: RNAcentral